CCUACGGGAGGCAGCAGUGGGGAAUAUUGCACAAUGGGGGAAACCCUGAUGCAGCGACGCCGCGUGAGCGAUGAAGGCCUUCGGGUCGUAAAGCUCUGUCCUAAGGGAAGAUAAUGACGGUACCUUAGGAGGAAGCCCCGGCUAACUACGUGCCAGCAGCCGCGGUAAUACGUAGGGGGCGAGCGUUGUCCGGAAUUACUGGGCGUAAAGGGUGCGUAGGCGGUCAUGUAAGUCAGAUGUGAAAGCCCUCGGCUUAACCGAGGUAAGCAUUUGAAACUGCAUAACUUGAGUGCAGGAGAGGAGAGUGGAAUUCCUAGUGUAGCGGUGAAAUGCGUAGAUAUUAGGAAGAACACCAGUGGCGAAGGCGACUCUCUGGACUGUAACUGACGCUGAGGCACGAAAGCGUGGGGAGCGAACAGGAUUAGAUACCCUGGUAGUC
This 439-nucleotide ribosomal RNA is filed under the name uncultured bacterium. RNAcentral describes it as "bacterial SSU rRNA". It matches the Rfam family "Bacterial small subunit ribosomal RNA", at positions 338 to 795 of the family's 1533-position model. The record is from RNAcentral.